AUUGAACGCUGGCGGCAGGCCUAACACAUGCAAGUCGAGCGGAGCGGCGGACGGGUGAGUAAUGCCUAGGAAUCUGCCUGGUAGUGGGGGAUAACGUCCGGAAACGGGCGCUAAUACCGCAUACUAUCAGAUGAGCCUAGGUCGGAUUAGCUAGUUGGGGGGGUAAAGGCCUACCAAGGCGACGAUCCGUAACUGGUCUGAGAGGAUGAUCAGUCACACUGUAACGGCGACACGGCCCAGCGUCGUACGGGAGGGGGAAGUGGGGAAAAUUGGGAAAUGGGCGAAGGCCAGAUGCAGCGGCGCCGCGUGGGGGAUGAAGGCGUUCGGGUUGUAAAACUCUUUCGCUAUCGAACGGGUAGGUGGAGAAGAAGCGCCGGCUAACUACGUGCCAGCAGCCGCGGUAAUUC
Molecule: ribosomal RNA, 407 nt
Filed under: uncultured bacterium
Lineage: Bacteria
Description: partial 16S ribosomal RNA
Rfam family: Bacterial small subunit ribosomal RNA
Source: RNAcentral